UGAGGAAUAUUGGUCAAUGGGGGCAACCCUGAACCAGCCAAGUCGCGUGAAGGAUGAAGGUCUUAUGGAUUGUAAACUUCUUUUACACGGGAAUAAAGUGGGGGACGUGUCCCCCUUUGCAUGUACCGUGUGAAUAAGGAUCGGCUAACUACGUGCCAGCAGCCGCGGUAAUACGUAGGGUGCAAGCGUUAAUCGGAAUUACUGGGCGUAAAGCGUGCGCAGGCGGUUCGGAAAGAAAGGUGUGAAAUCCCAGGGCUUAACCUUGGAACUGCACGUUUAACUACCGGGCUAGAGUACGUCAGAGGGGGGUAGAAUUCCACGUGUAGCAGUGAAAUGCGUAGAGAUGUGGAGGAAUACCGAUGGCGAAGGCAGCCCCCUGGGAUGAUACUGACGCUCAUGCACGAAAGCGUGGGGAGCAAACA
This 422-nucleotide ribosomal RNA is filed under the name uncultured bacterium. Its description in RNAcentral is "bacterial SSU rRNA". It matches the Rfam family "Bacterial small subunit ribosomal RNA", at positions 355 to 774 of the family's 1533-position model. The record is from RNAcentral.